RNAcentral lists this small nuclear RNA (274 nucleotides) under Lingula anatina. RNAcentral's name for it is "7SK RNA". It matches the Rfam family "7SK RNA". From Rfam's summary of the family: 7SK was discovered as an abundant small nuclear RNA in the mid-70s but a possible function has only recently been suggested. Two independent studies have found that 7SK RNA binds the CDK9/cyclin T complex (known as elongation factor P-TEFb). P-TEFb activates transcription by phosphorylating the C-terminal domain of RNA polymerase II. The record is from Rfam by way of RNAcentral. Lineage: Eukaryota; Metazoa; Brachiopoda; Lingulata; Lingulida; Lingulidae.
AGGCGUGUGUCCAGGUGACACGUCUGAACAUUGAUCGCUGUUGAUUCGGCAGAUCUGUCCAGAAAGUGUCCCGUUUCUCGCACACUUCUAUGAUAUGGGCGCUCCCGCUGCCUCGCCGCACGGUCGAGUACCUCCGAAAUUCAUAUCGUCCCACCUUACGGUUGGGUAAAAGGGUUUAUAAAAAUUCACUUGUAUAGUCAUAUGCAUCAACACCAAAAUAAUGAUAAUUAAUACCAUGCACACAUAUAUAUCAGAGUUGUCAGCAUUUUGAAAU